This 76-nucleotide transfer RNA is filed under the name Brevundimonas phage vB_BpoS-Bambus. RNAcentral describes it as "tRNA-Gly". It matches the Rfam family "tRNA". From Rfam's summary of the family: Transfer RNA (tRNA) molecules are approximately 80 nucleotides in length. Their secondary structure includes four short double-helical elements and three loops (D, anti-codon, and T loops). The record is from RNAcentral. Lineage: Duplodnaviria; Heunggongvirae; Uroviricota; Caudoviricetes. RNAcentral also lists the same sequence under 4 other names.
GCGACUCACGUAUUAUGGGUGGGUACAACGCGUUGCCAACGCGCAGGGUCGGGUUCGAGUCCCGAGAGUCGCUCCA